UCCAGUUGUAAUCUGCAUCUGCUAGCCAAAAAGGAGGCAAUAAUAAAUAUUGAGAACUCUUCCAGAAGCAUCGACAAAGAAAAAGGGGAAGCAAUUACCAAAAACAAUGAAAUUAUUAUCACGAGAAAAAAAUGGACAUCAUUCUGGAUAAUCAAAGGGUUUUUUUGGGUCUAAUAAUAGUUUCAAUAUCUAUAGAAACAUGGAUCUGUUCCACACCCAUGGAAGCAACAGCAAAUGGUAUUAAUCAUAAGAAUUCUAUAUAAUUAUCUAAAAUUUGUAUUACUAUUUCCUAUUUCAUUUUGUAAUGAGAAUGAGAAUUCUAAAUAUUUGCAUAUUCUCAGAAUCAUUCAGUAAACAUAAAAUUGUUAAAAAGGUAAGGAAAAACAUAAAAGAAAACCAGAGGACAAAAUUAGCCACUGUAUCAUUGCUUGGGGUUGCAUGAUAACUAAAAUUUGAAUGAUAGGAAAAGGCUAAAUCUAAAAGUAUACUUUGUACCAUUAAAAACCCUACCACCUUUAAUAUGCACUUAUUUAGUUCAUUCAUUUAUUGCAACCGUAGAAGCACAUAUUCAAAAGAAACAAUACAUUGCC
Molecule: unclassified non-coding RNA, 590 nt
Filed under: Hevea brasiliensis (rubber tree)
Lineage: Eukaryota; Viridiplantae; Streptophyta; Magnoliopsida; Malpighiales; Euphorbiaceae
Source: RNAcentral